UUCGAUUAGAGUUUGAUCAUGGCUCACAACGUACGCUGGCGGCACGCCUAACACAUGCAAGUCGAACGAAGUAGCAAUACUUAGUGGCAGACGGGUGAGUAACAUGUGGGUAUCUGCCCUUUGGCCUGGAAUAACACGAGGAAACUUGUGCUAAUACUGGAUAAGUCUUUACGGAGAAAGCUUUAUGCACCAUUGGAUGAGCCCGCACUUGAUUAGUUUGUUGGUGGGGUAAUGGCCUACCAAGACUUUGAUCAAUAGCUGAUUUGAGAGGAUGAUCAGCCACAUUGGGACUGAGACACGGCCCAAACUCCUACGGGAGGCAGCAGUGGGGAAUCUUGCACAAUGGAGGAAACUCUGAUGCAGCGAUGCCGCGUGAGUGAAGAAGGCCUUUGGGUUGUAAAGCUCUUUCGUCGGGGAAGAAAAUGACUGUACCCGAAUAAGAAGGUCCGGCUAACUUCGUGCCAGCAGCCGCGGUAAUACGAAGGGACCUAGCGUAGUUCGGAAUUACUGGGCUUAAAGAGUUCGUAGGUGGUUGAAAAAGUUGGUGGUGAAAUCCCAGAGCUUAACUCUGGAACUGCCAUCAAAACUUUUCAGCUAGAGUUUGAUAGAGGAAAGCAGAAUUUCUAGUGUAGAGGUGAAAUUCGUAGAUAUUAGAAAGAAUACCAAUUGCGAAGGCAGCUUUCUGGAUCAUUACUGACACUGAGGAACGAAAGCAUGGGUAGCGAAGAGGAUUAGAUACCCUCGUAGUCCAUGCCGUAAACGAUGUGUGUUAGACGUUGGAAAUUUAUUUUCAGUGUCGCAGCGAAAGCGAUAAACACACCGCCUGGGGAGUACGACCGCAAGGUUAAAACUCAAAUGAAUUGACGGGGACCCGCACAAGUAGUGGAGCAUGUGGUUUAAUUCGAAGAUACGCGCAGAACCUUACCAACACUUGACAUGUUCGUCGCGACUUUAAGAGAUUAAAGUUUUCGGUUCGGCCGGACGAAACACAGGUGCUGCAUGGCUGUCGUCAGCUCGUGUCGUGAGAUGUUGGGUUAAGUCCCGCAACGAGCGCAACCCUCACUUUUAGUUGCCAUCAUUUAGUUGGGCACUCUGAAAGAACUGCCAGUGAUAAGCUGGAGGAAGGUGGGGAUGACGUCAAGUCCUCAUGGCCCUUACGUGUUGGGCUACACACGUGCUACAAUGGUAUCUACAACAGGAAGCGAAACAGCGAUGUUAAGCAAAUCCUUAAAAGAUACCUCAGUUCGGAUUGCACUCUGCAACUCGAGUGCAUGAAGCUGGAAUUACUAGUAAUCGUGGAUCAGCGUGCCACGGUGAAUGCGUUCCGCGGGUCUUGUACACACCGCCCG
This 1349-nucleotide ribosomal RNA is filed under the name uncultured bacterium. RNAcentral describes it as "bacterial SSU rRNA". It matches the Rfam family "Bacterial small subunit ribosomal RNA". The record is from RNAcentral.